Molecule: ribosomal RNA, 468 nt
Filed under: uncultured bacterium
Lineage: Bacteria
Description: partial 16S ribosomal RNA
Rfam family: Bacterial small subunit ribosomal RNA
Source: RNAcentral
GACGAACGCUGGCGGCGCGCCUAACACAUGCCAGUCGAACGGAGUCAAGAGGAGCUUGCUUUUCUUGACUUAGUGGCGAACGGGUGAGUAACGCGUGAGUAACCUGCCCUGGAGUGGGGGACAACAGUUGGAAACGACUGCUAAUACCGCAUAAGCCCACGGAUCUGCAUGGAUCUGCGGGAAAAGGAUUUAUUCGCUCUAGGAUGGACUCGCGUCCAAUUAGCUAGUUGGUGAGGUAACGGCCCACCAAGGCGACGAUUGGUAGCCGGACUGAGAGGUUGAACGGCCACAUUGGGACUGAGACACGGCCCAGACUCCUACGGGAGGCAGCAGUGGGGGAUAUUGCACAAUGGGGGAAACCCUGAUGCAGCGACGCCGCGUGGAGGAAGAAGGUUUUCGGAUUGUAAACUCCUGUCGUUAGGGACGAUAAUGACGGUACCUAACAAGAAAGCACCGGCUAACUACGUG